AAGUAAGGAUUGAAUAGAGGGGAAUUUCAUAUGCAUUAACAUUUUUAGUAUAUAUUAGAGAACUAAUGAGCUAGGAUAUCAUUAGAAAUUACAACGUUAGAGAGUAAGCUUCCCUGUAUAUAACGUACUCCAAAACUGAGACUUUUUACUCUCCACAUCUUUUUAUAAAACCUGAAAAAGGCCAAUUAAGCCGUACCCCAUUGACUUAUUGACAUUAAUUUUGGAUUCUGUCAUGCUUAAAAGUAUAUAAAAAUAACUUAAAAAAAUUUGGAGCUGACGAAUCAGGUACUUGUUG
Molecule: long non-coding RNA, 295 nt
Filed under: Jatropha curcas
Lineage: Eukaryota; Viridiplantae; Streptophyta; Magnoliopsida; Malpighiales; Euphorbiaceae
Description: long non-coding RNA (JCUR_LNC003528)
Source: RNAcentral